Long non-coding RNA from Vicia villosa (hairy vetch), 1892 nucleotides. RefSeq lists it as uncharacterized. The transcript is spliced from 10 exons. NCBI's taxonomy places the organism in Eukaryota, Viridiplantae, Streptophyta, Magnoliopsida, Fabales, Fabaceae. The record is from RefSeq and is a predicted model, not a curated record.
GUUCCAUGGUUAAUCCACAUCAGCUUUGGCGGUUUCACUUCUCAAAAUUCUCACGCUCUCCUCUUUCUCUUCCAAAACGGUUUCUCCUCUUCUUUCAAAACCGGCACAUUCUCUUCAUUCACCAUUCUCUUCAAUGCACGGUUACAUUACAUUGACUGUUUGUCUUCUCAUUUUCAAAAUGAUUCAAUCUAUCUUCAAUUACCAUUCUCUUCAUCUCCAUUCAACUUUCGCAACCGCCCACAUCCACCUCUGCCUACUCUGCUCUAGAUCGAAACCUGUGUCGCCUGCAACUGCUGAUUUUGCCGUCGUAUCCCCAACACCGACGACUACACCACCGCCGCGCAUCUACGAUUGAAACAUGGGCUUAAUUAGAGGCUAAAAUCAGAAACAAAUGGAGGAUAGCAACAGACCGAAUUCCCAUCACAAGGGUCUCCGACCAAAAUCACCUAAGGGUCUUCGAACCGGUUAAAUCGGCACUGCUGAUAAAAAGAUAAGUGUAUUUACUUACAACUGGUACCAUUACAUCAAUUCUAUUAUGUAAUUGUUAAAAUUGUUCUUUCAUAAACUUAAUGAAUCUCUGUCUUGAUGUAAAUUCAGUGGUAAAUCAAAGAAUGUUAAUCUGAUUGCCCCACUCCGAAGCCAACGUUCAAUUCAUCCAAUAGAAGAAUCAACAUAAUUCAGCAGUGAAGUCACCAUUGAUGUUGCAAUUGAAUACAAAUUUUGAUUUGGCAAUGUUUAAUGGAGAAAUCCUAUGUCAGCGGAAACUGACGCUGGUGUUUCAGAGGAUGAUUCUUCUUUUGAUGACUUUUUUUAAUGUUGGCAAAUAGUUUAUGUUACUUCAGAUUGAUGGAGACCAUGCAAGUUUUGGAUGACGAAAUUUGUUAUCGUGCUCAAGAUUAUCUGACAAUUCACAAGUUAUUUGCAACCCGUGCUGAUUUGCAUCGAACAGUCUAUACACAUGCAAAAGUAAAGGCUAUAGAGUUGAUGGUCAUUGAUGCAUUGGUGAAAGCAAGUCCAUAUCUUCCUAUUGCAUCCUCUAUUGAUCAAGCUUUUGGAAGGUCUUGAAUGUAUUACAAGCUUUUGAUGCAUUGAUGCAUUGAUGCAUUGAUGCAUUGAUGCAUUGGUGAAACCAUCUGACUUUUGGAAGCAUGUUCUGUUCUGUCCUUUCUUGCUUAUUGUCAAGAUUAACUAGAAAUGGAGUUUAUGGGGAAAAACCGAGGUAUAUUCUGACACAUCCAAGAAAUUGAAAGGCUUGCCGUGGAGUAUAAUACAAGAUAAUUCAGAUUUGGAGUUAAGGCCAUUGUGGUCGAGAAGUAAUUAAAGGUCGAAGGUCAAGAAUUUUGCAUUGUUCUUCGAUAUUUUAGCUCUAUUGAUUUUCCACCGGGCUACCAAAUCUAAUGAUUGUUUGGUGGUGAUUAUGAAAUUGCGGGUUGCAAAGAUGUGGAAAGAGUUGUAGAUUGAGAUGGAUUAACAUGUAUAUAUUAAUAACUAGCAUCCUUCAUGAGAACUGAAGCAGUAGGCUACCUCUAAAGGAAUGAUGUGCUGAAUUGAAUAGAUGUGAAUAAUUCGAAGUUAAGCUUAGCGGCAGAGAUCUAGAAAUUGAUGAUACUGACUGGCGCCGAAUUGCCUACGACAAGAAGUUAUGUUAAUAUACUACAAUUACAAAUAUUAACAUAUUAAAAUAUAAUCAAUAGUAUUAAGUUUUUUAAUUUAAUAGUAUUAUUUAUAUUUAUAUAUGUUUGUAUCUACAUAAUCAUGUAUGUUGUUAGUUAAUAAUGGCAUUUAUGUUGAUAUUUACACAUUCAUGUACGAUUAUAUACAAUAAUGUGUGUAUAUUGCAUAUUAUUAAUAAAAUUAAAUUUUGAAACUAUAGUAAGAUCAUAGUAUUAUGA